This 253-nucleotide ribosomal RNA is filed under the name uncultured bacterium. RNAcentral's name for it is "partial 16S ribosomal RNA". It matches the Rfam family "Bacterial small subunit ribosomal RNA", at positions 524 to 776 of the family's 1533-position model. The record is from RNAcentral.
UACGAAGGGGGCUAGUGUUGCUCGGAAUCACUGGGCGUAAAGCGCACGUAGGCGGCUUUCUAAGUCAGGGGUGAAAUCCUGGAGCUCAACUCCAGAACUGCCUUUGAUACUGGAGAGCUCGAGUCCGGAAGAGGUGAGUGGAACUCCGAGUGUAGAGGUGAAAUUCGUAGAUAUUCGGAAGAACACCAGUGGCGAAGGCGGCUCACUGGUCCGGUACUGACGCUGAUGUGCGAAAGCGUGGGGAGCAAACAGG